RNAcentral lists this ribosomal RNA (1456 nucleotides) under Ceratomyxa informis. RNAcentral describes it as "SSU rRNA". It matches the Rfam family "Eukaryotic small subunit ribosomal RNA", at positions 319 to 1665 of the family's 1831-position model. Lineage: Eukaryota; Metazoa; Cnidaria; Myxozoa; Bivalvulida; Ceratomyxidae. The record is from RNAcentral.
CUAGUUGGUAAGGUAGUGGCUUACCAAGGUUUUGACGGGUAACGGGGAAUCAGGGUUCGAUUCCGGAGAGGGAGCCUGAGAAACGGCUACCACAUCCAAGGAAGGCAGCAGGCGCGCAAAUUACCCAAUCCAGACAUUGGGAGGUAGUGACGAGAAAUACCGGAGUGGAUCUAUUGAUGCACUACCGGAAUGAACGUAAUCUAAUAAUUUCGAUGAGUAUCUACUGGAGGGCAAGUCUGGUGCCAGCAGCCGCGGUAAUUCCAGCUCCAGUAGUGUAUAUCAAAAUUGUUGCGGUUAAAACGCUCGUAGUUAAUUCCAGCUCCAGUAAUGUAUAUCAAAAUUGUUGCGGUUAAAACGCUCGUAGUUGGAUUACGGGGGCCUCAAUUGCUAUACUUUAACGGUCUAGCAAAGUAGGCCUUCUUUACCGCAAGAUUUGUGUGCGGACUUUAUUGGCUGCUCACAAAAACUUGCGGAGCGUGCCUUGAAUAAAGCAUAGUGCUCAAAGCAGGCGUACGCUCGAGUGUAAUAGCAUGGAACGAAUAGAUGAACCUUGGUUUAGUUUGUUGGUUAAACGGGGCUUGUAGUAACAUUAAGCAUUUAUCAGUGCAUGUCUCUUGAGGUGUGUGCUUUUAAGUGUGUUGCUGCGAGUUCUAUCUAAACUGGGUUUUGAUUAAAAGGGACACUUGAGGGCAUUAGUACUUUGUGGCGAGAGGUGAAAUUCUUUGACCCACAAGAGACUGACUAUUGCGAAAGCAUUUGCCAAGAAUGUCUUCAUUAAUCAAGAACGAAGGUCGGAGGUUCGAAGACGAUCAGAUACCGUCCUAGUUUUGACAGCAAACAAUGCUACCAACGGGAUCAGUCCGGAAAGAUCCAGGUCGGUCCCCCCGGGAAACCUAAAGUGUUCUAGUUCCGGGGGGAGUAUGGUCGCAAGGCUGAAACUUAAAGGAAUUGACGGAAGGGCACCACCAGGAGUGGAGCCUGCGGCUUAAUUUGACUCAACACGGGACAACUCACCAGGUCCAGACAUUGAAAGGAUUGACAGACUGAGAGAUCUUUCAUGAUACAGUGAAUGGUGGUGCAUGGCCGUUCUUAGUUGGUGGGAGUGAUCUGUCAGGUCUAUUCCGGUAACGAGCGAGACCACGAUCUCUAUUUGAUUGUGAUGCAGUCCUUGUCUCGCACAAGUUUACGUUUGCGGUUUUUAUCAUAUAGAGACUACUCGGAAGUUAAAGCCGGGGGAAGCGUGGCAAUAACAGGUCUGUGAUGCCCUUCGAUGUCCUGGGCUGCACGCGUGCUACAAUGGCAGUAACAAAGAGUAUACCUGCGCUGAGAAGCGUAGGAAAUCUUGUAAAUUGCUGUCGUAAUUGGGAUUGAGCCUUGUAAUUAUUGCUCAUGAAAGAGGAAUUCCUCGUAAGCGUGAGUCACCAACUCAUGUUGAAUACGUCUCUGCCUCUUGUAC